RNAcentral lists this long non-coding RNA (283 nucleotides) under Brassica napus (rape). RNAcentral describes it as "long non-coding RNA (BNAP_LNC008497)". Lineage: Eukaryota; Viridiplantae; Streptophyta; Magnoliopsida; Brassicales; Brassicaceae. The record is from RNAcentral.
CUUAAGAAGCCUCUGGUGUUACAUUCAGCUGUUUUAUUUUGAUGCAGUAUAAGUUUUAUGUUGAUGGGGAAUGGAGGCACGAUGAGCACCAACCAUUUGUAAACGGAAACGGCGGAGGGAUGAAUACGAUACUUAUCACUCUACCAGAUAUGGUUCCCACUGGUUUUAGCCCAUCGAACGGAAACGGCGGAGUGAUGAAUACGAUACUUAUCACUCUACCAGAUAUGGUUCCCACUGGUUUUAGCCCAUCGAGCAUGGAUGUGGAUGAUUUCUCUCAUCGAAU